Molecule: non-coding RNA, 73 nt
Organism: Chrysochloris asiatica (Cape golden mole)
Lineage: Eukaryota; Metazoa; Chordata; Mammalia; Afrosoricida; Chrysochloridae
Source: the annotation of a RefSeq genome assembly
GUCUGGGUAGCUCAGUUGGUAGAGCAUCAGAUUUUUAAUCUGAAAGUUGAGGGUUCAAGUCCUUGUUCAGAUG